This 259-nucleotide ribosomal RNA is filed under the name uncultured prokaryote. RNAcentral's name for it is "partial 16S ribosomal RNA". It matches the Rfam family "Bacterial small subunit ribosomal RNA", at positions 524 to 782 of the family's 1533-position model. The record is from RNAcentral.
UACGUAGGUGGCGAGCGUUGUCCGGAUUUACUGGGCGUAAAGCGCGUGUAGGUGGUUCUGUAAGUAGGGCGUGAAAGCUCCCGGCUCAACUGGGAGAGGCCGUUCUAAACUGCAGAGCUAGAGGAUGGUAGAGGGAGGUGGAAUUCCAGGUGUAGCGGUGGAAUGCGCAGAUAUCUGGAGGAACACCAGUGGCGAAGGCGACUUUCUGGUCUAUUAUUGACGCUGAGGCUCGAAAGCAUGGGUAGCAAACAGGAUUAGA